RNAcentral lists this ribosomal RNA (492 nucleotides) under uncultured bacterium. RNAcentral describes it as "partial 16S ribosomal RNA". It matches the Rfam family "Bacterial small subunit ribosomal RNA", at positions 29 to 507 of the family's 1533-position model. The record is from RNAcentral.
AGUGAACGCUGGCGGUAGGCCUAACACAUGCAAGUCGAACGGCAGCACAGUAAGAGCUUGCUCUUACGGGUGGCGAGUGGCGGACGGGUGAGGAAUACAUCGGAAUCUACUUUUUCGUGGGGGAUAACGUAGGGAAACUUACGCUAAUACCGCAUACGACCUACGGGUGAAAGCAGGGGAUCUUCGGACCUUGCGCGAGUGAAUGAGCCGAUGUCGGAUUAGCUAGUUGGCGGGGUAAAGGCCCACCAAGGCGACGAUCCGUAGCUGGUCUGAGAGGAUGAUCAGCCACACUGGAACUGAGACACGGUCCAGACUCCUACGGGAGGCGGCAGUGGGGAAUAUUGGACAAUGGGCGCAAGCCUGAUCCAGCCAUACUGCGUGGGUGAAGAAGGCCUUCGGGUUGUAAAGCCCUUUUGUUGGGAAAGAAAAGCAGCAGGUUAAUACCCCGCUGUUCUGACGGUACCCAAAGAAUAAGCACCGGCUAACUUCGUG